GGUAUCAUAAUGGCACAUUCGGAAGGAUUCGAGAUCGGAUAAGAGGGUGGUUUUCAUGAGUGUUCCUCAAAAGUUCUUCAGACCUCGGAAGCAAAAAAUUCUACGCCGAAAUUUGCUGAACUAAUGAGAAAAUAAAUUGGAAAAGUGUGGUGCAGACUUGGGUCUCUGAUGCAUCUCACGCAAAAAAUGAUUUUUGAUGCAUUAUAUUCGGUUGUUUUCUGGAAAGAACUUUGAGCAAGAGUUAGAGAAAUUAUUUUAGCAAGAUUUUAUUGGAGGCUAGUAUCUUAAAUUUUGCUUCCCAGUAGUGGCCCUAUUAUAUUGUAACUUUUUUAACGAAUAAAUUUUGUUUGUUAUUACUGUAGUGUUCAACCUGUAUGUAACAAAAGAAACAAUGCGAAAUUUAGAAAGAGAAUUCAAAUUUAAAGAGAACGGAAAGGAGCUUUA
This is a long non-coding RNA of Schistocerca gregaria, 444 nucleotides long. RefSeq lists it as uncharacterized. The record is from RefSeq and is a predicted model, not a curated record. The transcript is spliced from 3 exons. Lineage: Eukaryota; Metazoa; Arthropoda; Insecta; Orthoptera; Acrididae.